UGAACAGCCGUUGCACACGAGUCAGUCGAUCCUAAGCCCUAGGAGAAAUCCUAUGUUGAUGACGGUGUAUUAUUCUAAAGUAUUUAACUAAAGUGCACACCCGUCGGGCGAAAGGGAAUCCGGUUCCUAUUCCGGAACCCGGCAGCGGAACCGCAAUAAAUUCGGGCCCUCUUAUGAGUGUUCGGCGGGGUAACCCAAAGUGACCUGGAGACGCCGUCGGGAGAUCCGGGAAGAGUUUUCUUUUCUGUAUAAGCGUUCGAGUUCCCUGGAAACCUCUAGCAGGGAGAUAGGGUUUGGAACGCGAAGAGCACCGCAGUUGCGGCGGUGUCCGGAUCUUCCCCUCGGACCUUGAAAAUCCAGGAGAGGGCUACGUGGAGGUGUCGCGCCGGAUCGUACCCAUAUCCGCAGCAGGUCUCCAAGGUAAAGAGCCUCUAGUCGAUAGACUAAUGUAGGUAAGGGAAGUCGGCAAAUUGGAUCCGUAACUUCGGAAUAAGGAUUGGCUCUGAGGAGCGGGGCGCGUCGGGCUUGGUCGCGAUGUGGGUCUGACUGACGUGCCGGGCCUGGGCGAGGUGAAUGAUCCUUCUUCACGGGAGGGUCGGGAUCCGAGCUCGGUACCGUGCCUUGGUCUCCCGCGGAUCUUCCUUGCUGCGAGGCUUUUGGGGCGGUUAAGCCGUCCCGAUCGUUCUCUUCGGCCGCCAUUCAACGCUCAGCUCAGAACUGGCACGGACUAG
This 731-nucleotide ribosomal RNA is filed under the name Salmonella enterica subsp. enterica serovar Typhimurium. Its description in RNAcentral is "partial 23S ribosomal RNA". It matches the Rfam family "Eukaryotic large subunit ribosomal RNA", at positions 1514 to 2127 of the family's 3401-position model. The record is from RNAcentral. Lineage: Bacteria; Pseudomonadati; Pseudomonadota; Gammaproteobacteria; Enterobacterales; Enterobacteriaceae.